Molecule: transfer RNA, 72 nt
Filed under: Dipodomys ordii (Ord's kangaroo rat)
Lineage: Eukaryota; Metazoa; Chordata; Mammalia; Rodentia; Heteromyidae
Rfam family: tRNA
About the family: Transfer RNA (tRNA) molecules are approximately 80 nucleotides in length. Their secondary structure includes four short double-helical elements and three loops (D, anti-codon, and T loops). Further hydrogen bonds mediate the characteristic L-shaped molecular structure. tRNAs have two regions of fundamental functional importance: the anti-codon, which is responsible for specific mRNA codon recognition, and the 3' end, to which the tRNAs corresponding amino acid is attached (by aminoacyl-tRNA synthetases). tRNAs cope with the degeneracy of the genetic code in two manners: having more than one tRNA (with a specific anti-codon) for a particular amino acid; and 'wobble' base-pairing, i.e. permitting non-standard base-pairing at the 3rd anti-codon position.
Source: Rfam by way of RNAcentral
GGGAGCGUAGCUUCGUGGUAGAGCACUUGCCUAGCAUGCAUGAAUUCCUGGGUUCAAUGCCCAGCACUGCAA